UACGUAGGGUGCAAGCGUUAAUCGGAAUUACUGGGCGUAAAGCGUGCGCAGGCGUUUUUUUAAGUCAGAUGUGAAAUCCCCGGGCUUAACCUGGGAACUGCGUUUGAAACUACAAGGCUAGAGUGUGGCAGAGGGGGGUGGAAUUCCACGUGUAGCAGUGAAAUGCGUAGAGAUGUGGAGGAACACCGAUGGCGAAGGCAGCCCCCUGGGUUAACACUGACGCUCAGGCACGAAAGCGUGGGGAGCAAACAGG
RNAcentral lists this ribosomal RNA (253 nucleotides) under uncultured bacterium. RNAcentral's name for it is "partial 16S ribosomal RNA". It matches the Rfam family "Bacterial small subunit ribosomal RNA", at positions 524 to 776 of the family's 1533-position model. The record is from RNAcentral.